GACGAACCGUGCGAACGUUGUUCGGAAUCACUGGGCUUAAAGGGCGCGUAGGCGGGCCUCCAAGUCCGGGGUGAAAUCCUCCAGCCUAACUGGAGAAGAGCCUCGGAGACUGGGGGCCUCGAGGGAGGUAGGGGCGUGCGGAACUAUGGGUGGAGCGGUGAAAUGCAUUGAUAUCCAUAGGAACUCCGGUGGCGAAGGCGGCACGCUGGACCUCUUCUGACGCUGAGGCGCGAAAGCCAGGGGAGCAAACGGG
Molecule: ribosomal RNA, 253 nt
Filed under: uncultured bacterium
Lineage: Bacteria
Description: partial 16S ribosomal RNA
Rfam family: Bacterial small subunit ribosomal RNA
Source: RNAcentral